CCCCACCCUCACCCCCGCCCGCCAGCACAUGACAGAGGCUGGGGCUCUCCAGGGAGCUGUGUGUUAGGAGUCAAACCCGAGGCCUCAUACGUGCUAGGCAAGAGGUCUACCAUGGAGUUCCACCCCGGCUCUGACAAAGAUUCCAGGCUUCAGCUAAUGAAAGCAAAAUAAUAGCUGAUCUCUUAUUUUCUUCUUGAAAAGCAGCUUCCGAAGAAACUUACUUGGGGAGACUUGUAGGGGAUUUAACCCCUCAGGUUCCGGUGACCUGGCAGUGACAUGCAGGCACAAACACCAGGAAAACGCACCUAUCAGGAAAACGGCCUUGAAAAAUACAAGUAAGAAGUGGACUUCAAAGGUUCAGAAUCCGUCUCUUGUUCAGAAAAAUGUACUGUGCUUAUUCAAUGACCUUUUAACAUAAAGCUGUAAGUGUCAAGAAACUUCAGUCUCCAAAGAUAUUUCCAAAAAUAAGA
Peromyscus leucopus (white-footed mouse) is the source of this 470-nucleotide long non-coding RNA. RefSeq lists it as uncharacterized. The transcript is spliced from 3 exons. The record is from RefSeq and is a predicted model, not a curated record. Lineage: Eukaryota; Metazoa; Chordata; Mammalia; Rodentia; Cricetidae.